Molecule: ribosomal RNA, 207 nt
Filed under: uncultured bacterium
Lineage: Bacteria
Description: partial 16S ribosomal RNA
Rfam family: Bacterial small subunit ribosomal RNA
Source: RNAcentral
CGCGUAGGCGGUCGGGUUAGUCGGAUGUGAAAGCCCAGGGCUUAACCUUGGAAUUGCAUUCGAUACUGCCCGGCUAGAGUAUGGGAGAGGGAAGCGGAAUUUCCGGUGUAGCGGUGAAAUGCGUAGAUAUCGGAAGGAACACCAGUGGCGAAGGCGGCUUCCUGGCCCAAUACUGACGCUCAGGUGCGAAAGCGUGGGGAGCGAACA